This 565-nucleotide long non-coding RNA is filed under the name Homo sapiens (human). RNAcentral describes it as "TMEM246 antisense RNA 1 (TMEM246-AS1)". Lineage: Eukaryota; Metazoa; Chordata; Mammalia; Primates; Hominidae. The record is from RNAcentral.
UUAUCCCAGCCCCUUCCUACUCCCAUUGAAUGCAGCUCUGUGAGGACACGAUAUUUGAAGCUGCAGUAGCUGAGGUGGCAAAAGAUGGCAGAACAGAAGAGCAGACAGAAUCUGGGUCCUAGAUGACUUCAUUGCACUGCUGCAACUGCCUUCUCCAGACCUCUUGCCAGGUGAAGAAAUUGAGACCCAGAGUGAUUAUAUGACCUGCCCAAGGUGGUCACGUCGUUAGGCCAUGGCAGAGAUCUGAAAUAAAAGGUCAGGUCUUCUGACUUCAGUCCAUGAUUUUUUUUUUUUUUUUUCUAUAACAUCAUGCUACCUAGAAGAAAAAGAAAUGAAGAUCAAGCUGCAGAGGAAACAGCCACCUGGGGCGUGUUCUUACGUUGCCUGGAAGCUGCACAAGAGGCCAAGUCAAAACAUGCAGAAUUCCAGUUGCCCAUGAUGUCACAGGCUGAGGCCCACACUCCAGAGACACUGUGGACUGACUGGCACCUAUGAGCUGACCUAAUAACAGUUACACCAUUACAGCUCCGAUUCUACAGAACAAUACAUAUCCAGUUCUUAUCUA